UCUCCCUUCCUUCCUUCUUAAUAUGUUUUUGGCCUUUUCUUUAUAUAUGUGGCCUAGCAAUAUCCUGUGUUUGGAAAAGUAUAAACCUAAGGCAUCACCUUUACAGAAAAUAUCUUCCACGGAAACAUCUAAAGGCAAAAAUCCUUCAAAUUCAAAUUUAUCCAAUCAUUUCUUCUGCUUACUACCAUCCUAAAUCAUUUUUCUUUAGUAAGAUCUAUUAGUGGGAAGCUAUUAAGCUAUUAAUGUAUCAUAUUAAUUGUAUUCAGAUAUUAAGUGAGGAGGUAAAGUUGCAUUCACAGGCCUUGAACUUUUCCACAUCUCGAUUUUUACCCAUCAUCUCUGAAUAGUUCCCUAAGGCAGCCUUCAAAUGGUGAUGUUUCUUAUAAUCCAGAGUUCAGAAGUGGCUUCUCUUCAAUCUUUCUGUGGAAUUCUAAACCAUGUGAUAAAGGAGCUGGUGGUGAGAAAUAAGGGAAGGCAGAGAUGAAAAGGAAUGGGCAGAAGCUUUUGGAGAGGAAUAACCACUGAGAUUGCCAUGAAAGAUUCAUUCUGACAUUCUUUUCAUGUAUUUAAUGCAAUCAAAAAAGAAUCCACAGCUAACCACGGGUGUCCAAUCUUUUGCCUUCCCUGGACCAACUGGAAGAAUUGUCUUCGACCACACAUAAAAUACACUAACACUAACAAUAGCUGAUGAGCUUUAAAAAAAAAUCACAAAA
RNAcentral lists this non-coding RNA (713 nucleotides) under Pan troglodytes (chimpanzee). The record is from RNAcentral. Lineage: Eukaryota; Metazoa; Chordata; Mammalia; Primates; Hominidae.